Molecule: ribosomal RNA, 301 nt
Filed under: uncultured bacterium
Lineage: Bacteria
Description: partial 16S ribosomal RNA
Rfam family: Bacterial small subunit ribosomal RNA
Source: RNAcentral
CAGUCGCCGCGGGAAUACGUAGGUGGCAAGCGUUGUCCGGAAUUAUUGGGCGUAAAGGGCUCGCAGGCGGUUUCUUAAGUCUGAUGUGAAAGCCCCCGGCUCAACCGGGGAGGGUCAUCGGAAACUGGGAAACUUGAGUGCAGAAGAGGAGAGUGGAAUUCCACGUGUAGCGGUGAAAUGCGUAGAGAUGUGGAGGAACACCAGUGGCGAAGGCGACUCUCUGGUCUGUAACUGACGCUGAGGAGCGAGAGCGUGGGGAGCGAACAGGAUUAGAUACCCCUGUAGUCCCUGUCUCUUAUAC